Molecule: long non-coding RNA, 1311 nt
Organism: Cygnus olor (mute swan)
Lineage: Eukaryota; Metazoa; Chordata; Aves; Anseriformes; Anatidae
Exons: 3
Source: RefSeq, a predicted model, not a curated record
UCUGCGCCUCUGGGAGGGAGAGAUCUUGGCCACGAUUUCUGCUCCUUUCAGAGCACCUCUCGCUGCCUUGAGGUGCUGGAAAUGGGAAAUCCAGCCCCGCGGGGACCCUUCCCUCACGCAUUUAUUUCAUCCACGACCACAUCUUGGAUCGUGCUCGUUCGCCACGGGAGAAGGUGCCAAAUUGGCUCGCGCCCGCUCGGUGCCUGACACAAGGGCAGCUGGAGGCAAUCAGGGAGCAGGGGGAGCCUUUUCAGCCUUUUCCUCUCCAAAACAAGCAGAUACAGCAGCGAGGGGGGGAAAAUCUGGCUCCGAGCAGGCAGCCAGCUCGGAGCCAGGCGGCGAGGCUGUACAACCCCCGUCUCCCUCUUUGUUUUCUCUAAUUGCACAGCCAGGCCUCCAGGGCACAGCCUGUUUCUAGCCGUGCCUUGGGACAAAGCCUGGUGCUGUGGGGCUGGGACGUGCUGACCCGGGAACAACGGGGAAGGCGUCCUUGGAAGAGGGACCCGGCUGGUUUGGGCUUCGCUGGGGAGCGACGCGGGUGCCCAGCAAGCUGCUGCUCGCAGGGGAUGCUGCUCAUGGUGCAGAGCCCCUGGGCAACCGGAUCUCCUUUUGCAACUGCUGCCUCGCCUGCAGCUGGCUCCUCAGGGCGUCAAGGCGGAAUUACAGCCCGGCAGACAAAGCCUGGACGUAAUCUCCCCCGCACCAACGGCGUGGCAGGGGGGGGAAAGCGCAGGGAACGUUCCGCAGGGCGGGCUUCAAAUGAGGCGAGCCGGGGUUCAGGAUGUACGCCGAGCUGCUUCAUCACCGCCCCUAAUGGCUUAACCACCAAAAUCCAUAGUCAUAAAUCAAAGCAGGAGCGCCAGCGGCCUCUGCUCGGCUCCACGGGGCAGGUUAUGUGCGUGCGCUUCUCCUGCAGCUGCCGGGGCUCGGCCUCGGCGUUUGCUGAGCCCGAGGAGAGCUGAUACGAUCAGAUCUGUCUGUCUGCCUCCGAAGGAUUAGCUGAGUCAACCGGGAAAGGGCUGAGCUCGUUCAUCACGCUCUUUUCGACACUGAAAUGCGCCCUGAAACACCUGGAGACCUCUGGGAGGUGCCAGCAGGUUAAAUCCCAGCUGGGACCGGAGCCCCCCACCCCUCUCCCCCAGACCCCUUCCAGGAGCACUGGCGGCUCCCUGCAGGACCACGCGAGGCCGGCGGUGCAGAAUCGUGCCCUGUAGCGCUGCUGACAACACCAGACUCUCAGCAGCUCCUCCGGAACGACAUUAAACUUAAACCAAAUCGCGUUGUGUGUUAGAGCGCGGAUGCUUGGCUGCG